GCUUGUCUCAAAGAUUAAGCCAUGCAUAUCUAAGAAUAACUAACAUUAUCUUGAAUCUGUGAAUGGCUCAUUAUAUCAGUUAUAGUUUAUUUGAUGGUCCUUGCUACUUGGAUAACCGUAGUAAUUCUAGAGCUAAUACAUGCAUUAAACCCCGACUUCUGGAAGGGGUGUAUUUAUUAGAUGGAAACCAAUGCGGGGUAACCCGGAAUAUGGUGAUUCAUAAUAACUUUCGGAUCGAUUUAUCGAUGCAUCAUUCAAGUUUCUGCCCUAUCAGCUUUGGAUGGUAGGGUAUUGGCCUACCAUGGCUUUAACGGGUAACGGAGAAUUAGGGUUCGAUUCCGGAGAGGGAGCCUGAGAAAUGGCUACCACAUCCAAGGAAGGCAGCAGG
RNAcentral lists this ribosomal RNA (388 nucleotides) under Ochromonas tuberculata. Its description in RNAcentral is "partial small subunit ribosomal RNA". It matches the Rfam family "Eukaryotic small subunit ribosomal RNA", at positions 30 to 432 of the family's 1831-position model. Lineage: Eukaryota; Chrysophyceae; Chromulinales; Chromulinaceae. The record is from RNAcentral.